This is a long non-coding RNA of Esox lucius (northern pike), 302 nucleotides long. The record is from Ensembl. Lineage: Eukaryota; Metazoa; Chordata; Actinopteri; Esociformes; Esocidae.
UUGGAGGAGAUAAGUUGUGGUAGUAAUUCUCUGUCAUUAAAUUUUUAUUUUAUUUUUUAGAUCGUGUGGAGGUCAGUCAUAAUCUGACAUUCAACUCCGGAUGAAGGAAUCGUUCCAGGCCAUUCAAAUUGGCUGUUUGAAAGAUUUCUGUGUCGAGGUCAAUGCUUUGACACAAUUCUAUCUCUGAGGUCUGCGGGAAGUUCCUUGGACGCCAGUGGUCGCCAAUCAAGAGACAUCUCAAGGAUAAUCAAAGGAAACAGGGUGCAUUAGAGCUCAAUUCGGAGUGUCAUGGCUAAGAGAAU